Molecule: ribosomal RNA, 497 nt
Filed under: uncultured bacterium
Lineage: Bacteria
Description: partial 16S ribosomal RNA
Rfam family: Bacterial small subunit ribosomal RNA
Source: RNAcentral
GAUGAACGCUGGCGGCGUGCCUAAUACAUGCAAGUCGAGCGAACAGACGAGGAGCUUGCUCCUCUGACGUUAGCGGCGGACGGGUGAGUAACACGUGGAUAACCUACCUAUAAGACUGGGAUAACUUCGGGAAACCGGAGCUAAUACCGGAUAAUAUAUUGAACCGCAUGGUUCAAUAGUGAAAGACGGUUUUGCUGUCACUUAUAGAUGGAUCCGCGCCGCAUUAGCUAGUUGGUAAGGUAACGGCUUACCAAGGCAACGAUGCGUAGCCGACCUGAGAGGGUGGUCGGCCACACUGGAACUGAGACACGGUCCAGACUCCUACGGGAGGCAGCGGUAGGGAAUCUUCCGCAAUGGGCGAAAGCCUGACGGAGCAACGCCGCGUGAGUGAUGAAGGUCUUCGGAUCGUAAAACUCUGUUAUUAGGGAAGAACAAAUGUGUAAGUAACUAUGCACGUCUUGACGGUACCUAAUCAGAAAGCCACGGCUAACUACGUG